Drosophila willistoni is the source of this 959-nucleotide RNA transcript. RefSeq lists it as uncharacterized. The transcript is spliced from 2 exons. Lineage: Eukaryota; Metazoa; Arthropoda; Insecta; Diptera; Drosophilidae. The record is from RefSeq and is a predicted model, not a curated record.
GUAAACAUUUAUCUUUAAAAAGACAUGUUGCGAAAAGUGUGAUUUAAAUCCGGCUAAGAGACGGCACUAUUUCAAAAGACUUCAAUUUGCCAUACUAAACGUCUAUUUCUUAUUUUUUUUUUUUUGUAAUAGUAAAUAAAAUUGUAAUAAUAAAUCGUUGUAUAGCCAGAACACAGAACAGAAGAAGAACGGGAGGAAGCCAGAGAAAAAGAACGGCAUAAUUCAGCAUAAUUCCUUUCUUGCGAAUAAUGUCCCUAGGCUAUGAGGGGCAAUGUGGCAUCAGAGGUUCUGUGUCCAUUUAAGAGUAUAACCACAAUUUUAUGACAGAACAAUCAUCCUGCCAAAAUUUUCAAUGCUGUACAGUUUUCAGUAAAUACUGAGCUGUGGAGAAAACAUGGUAUUACCUUGUCUGAAGACUGGUUUCCUCGAUUUAACAAUGCCGAGGAAGUUCCUUAUGUUGCAGACGUAGCCGAUAGGUCAGUUGUCGAUCAACUUCUUGGUCAAAAUAAUUCCCUUUUAGAUAAUCCAAAUGUAGAUGAAGCCGAAAAUCUAAACCCGGGCGGUAAAAAGACUUUUUCGACAACAAUGCACUAGAGCAGAACGCAAUCACCAGUCGUAUUGCAUUGGCUCCCGGUGAAGGCCGCCGUCCAGUGGACUUAACAUUGGACGAAGACGCAGAAGAACUGUCCAUUUCUACAAUUUCAUGUGGUCAGACUUUCAAAGCCAAAACUAUAUACAGCUGCGAGCAAAAAAAUAGUAGUGGCUUCACCCAUUUUUUAAAUAUCAUAGAAAGGCAAGACUGAGACUUCUUGGUAUGCAAAUUUAUUAUUCGGUCUGUUAUUAAUUAUAUAAUAAACAAAAAAAAACCACUCCAUUUUGAUAUUUCGAAAAUAAUCAAGAUUUGGUGUCAAUAGUUCCAAAUUGAGGCGAGCAAAAUAAUAGUAGCACAUAUUUUAAAG